Non-coding RNA from Cricetulus griseus (Chinese hamster), 2111 nucleotides. Lineage: Eukaryota; Metazoa; Chordata; Mammalia; Rodentia; Cricetidae. The record is from RefSeq and is a predicted model, not a curated record.
GAGAGAGAGAGAGAGAGAGAGAGAGAGAGAGAAAGAAAGGGGGAGAGGAGGAGGAGGAGGAUCAGGAGUUCAAGGCCAGCCUUGGCUAUAGGAAACCACCUCAAACAUCAACCACACACAACAGAACAGCAUCAACAAAAACCCCCCUUAUCAGAGCAGGUGGUAGUUCCUGUUUUCCAUACCUUCUAAAUAGUAGCUCUUCUUUCCCCCUUUUCCAUGAGGUAUUUUUGUUAAAUGGAUGAUAGUUUAAACAAAACUAUGUUUAACACUACCUCUGUGUUACACAGGCCUGAUAGUAAGUGUAUUAAUCAAAGACACAGGACACAGGUGACAUGUCCAUUGAUCACGUACAAGCUCCACUCUGGGUGGCCCAACCACCUUCUUGAACUUACAACAGCUAUUGGCAAGCAACUUCAGCUCAGCCCCUUCAGGGGCAAACCUCUGAAACAAGAACUGGUAGCCCUCAAGACACAGAGAACUCUGAACACCCUUCCCUGGUGUGGAAAUUGUAGACUGUGGGGAUGUGGGGGAAAGGGCCCUGGACUCUAGACUUCCAGACUUGGCCUCAUGCUGGAGACAGGAAGAUAAGACAUUGCUGUUUAUUGUUUUAAAUCUACUGCAGCUUUGUCAGUUGCCCUGACUGUGCUCUUUCCAUUCAUCUCCUCUCAUCUCUCCUCCCUUUUUCCCUCCCCUCCCCUCCUCUCUUUUCCUCUCCCCUCCUUUCUUUUUCAUAGACAUGGUACCAUGUAGCCCAAACUUACUUCAAACUCACAAUGUAGCCCAGGAUGACCUUGAAUUUCUGUCUCUGCCUUCUGAGUGUUGGGGUUGUAGGUGUGCAUCACUCCAGGUUUUAUAAAACGGUGGGAAUCAAACUCAGGGCCUCAUUCAUGCUAGCCAUGUACUCCCCCUCCACACACACACACUUAGCUACAGCUCUAGCCCCUGGGAUGGUUUUUCUUUCUUCCUUUCUUCUUUCCUUCCUCCCUUUUAUUUGUUCUUUUCCUUUUUUCUUUCCUUCCUUCCUUUUUUCUUUUUCCCCUUUCUCCAUCUCUUUCCACUUCUCUUCCCUCUUUCUUUUCUUUGUCUUUUUUUUUUUUAAAGACAUAGUCUCACUCUAAAACUGAGGAUAUCUUGGAACUCUGUAGUCUUCUUGCCUCACCCUCCCAAGGGCCAAGAUUGCAGGCAUAAGCUGUCAUACCAAGAUCCCAUUCCUUUUAAAAGAUAUUAUUUUAAUUUUAUGUGUAUGAAUGUUUUAUCUGUGUGUACAUCUGUGGACAUGUGGGUACUUGGUGCCCAAUGAGGCCAGAAGAGGAAGUCCAGUCCCUUGUAACUGGAAUUAACAGACGGUUGUGAGCCACCUAUGUGUGCUGGGAAUCAAAUCCAAGUCCUCUGGAAGAGUCAGUGCUCUUAACUGCUGAGCCAUCAUCUCUCCAGGCCUCAUCUCAUUCCUUUCUUGACCUAAGACAGGUGAUGGGGGAAAGCCUAGACAGUCAGGCAUCUGGUUCAAAUACUAACUUCACCACUGCUUAUAAAUAUUUGUUGAAUAACUAAACAGUCUGCUUCAAUAAUCUUCAGGGGAGGAGGGGAUGCUGAGAGAUGACCUAGGAGCUCUAAUAUGUUCUUUGCACCUAACACGUUUUGCUCAGCCACCACCCCCUUUAUCUUUUUUUGUUUGUUUGUUUCAUUAUUGGUUUUGUUUUUUUGACAGAGCAUCUCAUACAUUCCAAACUGACCUCAAACUCACUGAGUUGCUCAAGAUGACCUUGAACUCCUGAUCAUCCUUCUUCCCUCUCUUAAGCAUGGAGAUUACAGCAGUACCGGAGACCAAAUUCCCAAGACCUCAGGAAUUCUCGGCAGGUCCUCUACUUCUGAGCAGUACUGAAGACAACUUUCUGAUCCCCACAUCACUUGUCUAGGGAAAAGGAGGGGAGAAACUGAGAGUUCAUCUUUGAUUUUUGUCCGACUGUAUGUAACCCUCCAUUCAUAAUAAGACAGAAUGCGAGCUGUCCAUUACCAAUGAGACACUAAACUACCAUGAAGGAGGAGAGACUGAUAUUGGCUCUCAGUUCUUCAUUCAGCUUCUUAAUAGAACUUUACAUUUUUAUUACUUA